Molecule: ribosomal RNA, 253 nt
Filed under: uncultured bacterium
Lineage: Bacteria
Description: partial 16S ribosomal RNA
Rfam family: Bacterial small subunit ribosomal RNA
Source: RNAcentral
UACGAAGGGGGCUAGCGUUGUUCGGAAUUACUGGGCGUAAAGCGCACGUAGGCGGCUUUGUAAGUUAGAGGUGAAAGCCCAGGGCUUAACCCUGGAAUUGCCCUUAAGACUGCAUCGCUAGAAUCGUGGAGAGGUGAGUGGAAUUCCGAGUGUAGAGGUGAAAUUCGUAGAUAUUCGGAAGAACACCAGUGGCGAAGGCGACUCACUGGACACGUAUUGACGCUGAGGUGCGAAAGCGUGGGGAGCAAACAGG